Molecule: ribosomal RNA, 1521 nt
Filed under: metagenome
Description: bacterial SSU rRNA
Rfam family: Bacterial small subunit ribosomal RNA
Source: RNAcentral
AGAGUUUGAUCCUGGCUCAGAACGAACGCUGGCGGCGUGGAUUAGGCAUGCAAGUCGAGCGCGAAAGUCGCCUUCGGGUGGCGAGUAGAGCGGCGAACUGGUGAGUACAAGGUGGGUAACGUGCCCGGACGUGGGGGAUAACUUCGAGAAAUUGAAGCUAAUACCGCAUGUCGUCCGAAUCCCUCGGGAUUUGGAAGAAAGGUGCAUCGACUUCGGUCGGUGUGCCGCGUCCGGAUCGGCCCGCCUCCCAUUAGCUUGUUGGUGGGGUAAUGGCCUACCAAGGCAACGAUGGGUAGCUGGCCUGAGAGGGUGGUCAGCCACACUGGGACUGAGAUACGGCCCAGACUCCUACGUGGGGCAGCAGUCUAGAGGCAUCCACAAUGGACGAAAGUCAGAUGGUGCGACGCCGCGUGUGGGAUGACGGUCUUCGGAUUGUAGACCACUGUCGCGAGGGAAUAAGGCCGGAGAGGAGCCCCUUUCCGGAUUGAAGGUACCUCGUAAGAAAGCACCGGCUAACUCCGUGCCAGCAGCCGCGGUAACACGGAGGGUGCGAGCGUUGUUCGGAAUUAUUGGGCGUAAAGGGCGCGUAGGCGGAUUGGUCAGUCUCUUGGUGAAAUCUUCACCGCUUAACGGGAAAAUUGCCGGAGAUACUACCAGUCUUGAGAGCGGUAGAGGUGAGUGGAAUUCCAGGUGUAACGGUGGAAUGUUUAGAUAUCUGGAAGAACACCAGUGGCGAAGGCGACUCACUGGACCGUAUCUGACGCUGAGGCGCGAAAAGCCAGGGGAGCGAACGGGAUUAGAUACCCCGGUAGUCCUGGCCGUAAACGGUGAACACUAGGUGUAGGAGGUAUCGACCCCUUCUGUGCCGCCGCUAACGCAUUAAGUGUUCCGCCUGGGGAGUACGACCGCAAGGUUGAAACUCAAAGGAAUUGACGGGGGCCCGCACAAGCGGUGGAGCAUGUGGUUUAAUUCGAUGCAACGCGAAGAACCUUACCCGGGCUCAAACCGGGGGGAAAAGCAGCCGAAAGGCUGUGUGCUUUCGGGCGUCCCUCGGAGGUGCUGCAUGGCUGUCGUCAGCUCGUGUCGUGAGAUGUUGGGUUAAGUCCCGCAACGAGCGCAACCCUUGUCUUUAGUUACCAGCGCGUCAUGGCGGGGACUCUAGAGAGACUGCCCUCGCAAGGGGGAGGAAGGUGGGGAUGACGUCAAGUCCUCAUGGCCCUUACGUCCGGGGCUACACACGUGCUACAAUGGCCGGUACAACGAGUCGCGAGACCGUGAGGUGGAGCUAACCUCUAAAAGCCGGCCCCAGUUCGGAUUGGGGUCUGCAAUUCGACUCCAUGAAGUCGGAAUCGCUAGUAAUCCCGUAUCAGCUACGACGGGGUGAAUACGUUCCCGGGCCUUGUACACACCGCCCGUCACACCACGGAAAUCGGUUUCUCCUGAAGUCGGUGUACCAACCUCGUAAGAGGAGGAAGCUGCCGAUGGAGAGAUUGGUAACUGGGGUGAAGUCGUAACAAGGUA